AACGGCCGUACCAUGCUGAAUAUACCGGUUCUCGUCAGAUCAUCGAAGUUAAGCAUCAUUGGGCGCGGUCAGUACUUGGGUGGGUGACCACCUGGGAACACCGCGUGCCGUU
This 112-nucleotide ribosomal RNA is filed under the name Caerostris darwini. Lineage: Eukaryota; Metazoa; Arthropoda; Arachnida; Araneae; Araneidae. The record is from RNAcentral.